Molecule: ribosomal RNA, 176 nt
Filed under: uncultured Bacillus sp.
Lineage: Bacteria; Bacillati; Bacillota; Bacilli; Caryophanales; Bacillaceae
Description: partial 16S ribosomal RNA
Rfam family: Bacterial small subunit ribosomal RNA
Source: RNAcentral
CUGGGCUACACACGUGCUACAAUGGCCGGUACAGACGGACGCAAAGCCGCGAGGUGGAGCAAAUCCUAAAAAGCCGGUCUCAGUUCGGAUUGCUAGGCGUGCAAUUCGCCUGCAUGAAGUCGGAAUCGCUAGUAAUCGCAGGUCAGCAUACUGCGGUGAAUACGUUCCCGGGCCUU